UGGCUCAGAUUGAACGCUGGCGGCAGGCCUAACACAUGCAAGUCGAACGGUAACAGGAAGCAGCUUGCUGCUUUGCUGACGAGUGGCGGACGGGUGAGUAAUGUCUGGGAAACUGCCUGAUGGAGGGGGAUAACUACUGGAAACGGUGGCUAAUACCGCAUAACGUCGCAAGACCAAAGAGGGGGACCUUCGGGCCUCUUGCCAUCAGAUGUGCCCAGAUGGGAUUAGCUUGUUGGUGAGGUAACGGCUCACCAAGGCGACGAUCCCUAGCUGGUCUGAGAGGAUGACCAGCCACACUGGAACUGAGACACGGUCCAGACUCCUACGGGAGGCAGCAGUGGGGAAUAUUGCACAAUGGGCGCAAGCCUGAUGCAGCCAUGCCGCGUGUAUGAAGAAGGCCUUCGGGUUGUAAAGUACUUUCAGCGGGGAGGAAGGUGUUGUGGUUAAUAACCGCAGCAAUUGACGUUACCCGCAGAAGAAGCACCGGCUAACUCCGUGCCAGCAGCCGCGGUAAUACGGAGGGUGCAAGCGUUAAUCGGAAUUACUGGGCGUAAAGCGCACGCAGGCGGUCUGUCAAGUCGGAUGUGAAAUCCCCGGGCUCAACCUGGGAACUGCAUUCGAAACUGGCAGGCUUGAGUCUUGUAGAGGGGGGUAGAAUUCCAGGUGUAGCGGUGAAAUGCGUAGAGAUCUGGAGGAAUACCGGUGGCGAAGGCGGCCCCCUGGACAAAGACUGACGCUCAGGUGCGAAAGCGUGGGGAGCAAACAGGAUUAGAUACCCUGGUAGUCCACGCCGUAAACGAUGUCUACUUGGAGGUUGUGCCCUUGAGGCGUGGCUUCCGGAGCUAACGCGUUAAGUAGACCGCCUGGGGAGUACGGCCGCAAGGUUAAAACUCAAAUGAAUUGACGGGGGCCCGCACAAGCGGUGGAGCAUGUGGUUUAAUUCGAUGCAACGCGAAGAACCUUACCUGGUCUUGACAUCCACAGAAGAAUCCAGAGAUGGAUUUGUGCCUUCGGGAACUGUGAGACAGGUGCUGCAUGGCUGUCGUCAGCUCGUGUUGUGAAAUGUUGGGUUAAGUCCCGCAACGAGCGCAAC
RNAcentral lists this ribosomal RNA (1093 nucleotides) under Salmonella enterica subsp. enterica. RNAcentral's name for it is "bacterial SSU rRNA". It matches the Rfam family "Bacterial small subunit ribosomal RNA", at positions 20 to 1102 of the family's 1533-position model. The record is from RNAcentral. Lineage: Bacteria; Pseudomonadati; Pseudomonadota; Gammaproteobacteria; Enterobacterales; Enterobacteriaceae. RNAcentral also lists the same sequence under 1 other name.